AGAAGAGCCAGGUUAGAGGAAAUGCUGCUGAAAGGCUGGGUUAUGAAGAUAACCCUCAAACUACUAGAAAGGGAGCCCUAAGUUUUGGCGCAGUGAGCAGGGUGUGAUUGAGAAUCCUCGAAGAGUUUCUCACAACCAAGGAUAGAGAAUUAUGUUCCAGGGUCCCUCUGUUUGGGCAGAAAAUAAGCUGUCUUGCAGUUCGAUGCCUGCUCAUCUUUGCCCAUCUAUCCAGGUUACCAUCAAUUUCCUCCACUUACCAAGCAAUACCCGCUCAGACCUGAGGCCAUGGAUGCAGUAGGUAACAAAUGUGACUCCCCACGUUAAUCCUCCUGGCAAACAUACCUGAUGCAGCUUCCUGGGAUCUGCCCUUGGUACAUGUUACACAAGAUAGCUGUUUCAAAGCUGGCCAGUAUGUGCAACUCCCUACAGGAGGCGGCAGUGAAUGGAUAAAAAACCCAGACACUUAGCUUGUCCCCAGACCAGACCACCUGGGACCUAUUGUGGUUACAGCUCGCCUCCAAAAACAUCCAGGCUCCAAGUUCUUAAUCUGACUUCCACAGCCCAGCAGCAGCCUUCGGCUCCCUCCCUGCAUUUCACCGGAUCUGGAUUGUAACUGGACGGUGAAGUUGCUGUACAAGUAUCACUACCCAGUGGUGUUUUAUCACCGCUGCAUCUUAUUACAUGUACGGACCAUUACAGUGCCAGGCAAACGCUUCCAUGUGCCUGCAGAUUACUGACUCAUUUACCCUAGGUGAUGUGCAUCUCCCCGGCCAUGUGUUCACUGGAAUGACAACAGCUCCUAGGUGGUAUAACAAUCUACGCCUAGACAAUGCACCGGUUCAACUAGCCAAGGAGCUACUACUCAAAGUGGUCCUGGCUGCUGCAUCAGCAUUUACCACCGUUCAUAACCACAUCACCAAAGGUCAUAUUCAAGUCCAGCUCUCCAAUCAAACAAUCACCUGAGUGAAAGAUCCUGUUUGUAAUGCAUCUUACAGUCCCAUCUCCUGGUGGACAGCUGUCCAAAUAACAGCUGCUGUCACUUCUAUAUUUGUGUUACUAACCUCACUUGUCAUGUGUGGGUACUUCAUACACAUGCUUAAAAAUCUGUUUCCUACCUUUACCCGUUCCCCUCUCCCACCUUCCUCGGGCAACCCUAAAACAGAUCCUGUAUAUAAAAGUAUUUAAAGUAUUGACUUUAUCUCACUUAAAAGUUCAAUUGGUCAAAAGGAAGGAAUUGUCAGGAGUUAAAAUUUAGCCAGCAGAGAAGAGAGAAGCUGCUGAGAAACAAGGACAUAGCUAAAUUAUCAUGUGCUGACAGAGACUAAAAGCUAAAACAACUGCAGAACAAGCAGGAAUGUUUCAGUAGCUCAAAAGGCACUGACAAUUUUAAACAAUUGAUAAGCUUAUAUGGUUAAUGCCCAUCUAGUAACUUAGUUCCUAGAACAGAAUAAACCCUCCCUUCACAGCCCACCGGAUAUCUGUAAGCAUUCAUCGCUACUCCCCGCCCCCACCACACCACCUUCUGACGUAAGUCAUAGAUGUUUGAUGCAAUUAGGAUGACCUAUAUGUACGUACUGUUCUUAUUUUUAUCUUUGUUCAGGGUUCUCUCUUGACUUGUAACAAUGUAUGUCUCUGUAUGUACAGAUAAAUGCAAAGGAAUUGGUAAGAGAAUGUAUAUAACAGGCCUCGGUGGCACCAUAUUUUUGAAGCUGCUUGUCAGUCUUCCUGGUACUGUAAAUAA
Long non-coding RNA from Mauremys mutica (yellowpond turtle), 1741 nucleotides. RefSeq lists it as uncharacterized. The record is from RefSeq and is a predicted model, not a curated record. The transcript is spliced from 5 exons. Lineage: Eukaryota; Metazoa; Chordata; Testudines; Geoemydidae.